Molecule: unclassified non-coding RNA, 1081 nt
Filed under: Zea mays
Lineage: Eukaryota; Viridiplantae; Streptophyta; Magnoliopsida; Poales; Poaceae
Description: misc RNA Zm00001eb140350
Source: RNAcentral
CGCGUUUCGGGCGUUUUACUUCCGCCAGCAAAUUUUGGCCCAGCGGCCAGCCCAAUUAGGGAAUAGGGAUUCCGCCGCCCAGUCCGUCCAGUCCGCUGUAGCCGCCGCGGUGCCUCCAGUCCGCGCCGUCCCUGUCCCUGUCCGCCCACGCCCAUCUGGUGCAGCCGACGCGGCGCCUCCAGGAGUCCAGGCCGCCAUCGCCUGUGCCAGGCAGCGCCAUCCCUGUCCGCGUCCGCCCAUCCGCCGCCCCCACAAGGCCACAACAGGGACGUCCGCCACCCGCCAAGCAGGGCCAGUCCGCCGGCCGCCUGCUCGCUUGCUCCAGCACUAUCUGGUAUGCUCAAGCACUAUCCCCAUCAGACGACGUUUAAUCUAUCUGGUAUGCUCAUUGCUCAAGCGAACAGCAUUGCAUUCAGUUGAUGUUGCUCGCUUGCUGUUGCUUCAGCACUUCAGCAGUUGCUCAAGCGAACAGCUUGCCUGUUGCUCGCUUGCGGAAGGAUUGAAGUGCUGUGUUCUGAACAUGCAUUCCAUUAUUGCAGAAUAGAUUGGAGGAGAAAUGGCUGAUUUUAGCACGGAUGAUGUUGGUUUAGAUGAUUUGGAUGAUGGUUAUUGAGUGCUUGAGUAACACAUGUGUGCUUGUGGUUGUGGACAUUGCAUUCCACUUUAUUUUGCACAAUAUUAUUAUGUGAACUUAUGUUGGUUGUUUGGUAUUUGACUUUAUGUUAUUGUCUGAAAUUAUUAUAUAUUGAAAUUUCUCUAUGUUGUUUAAAACUACGUUUAAACUUUGUUUAAACCGUUUAAAAGUUAAAACUCCACCCAUGAGCGUUUCAACGUUUCGUCGUUUUAAUAACCUUGAUGGGCUUAUCAUCAAAGUUCCAUCUCAUCGUUUCUCUAACACUGUUAGAGGCACCAAAUACUUGAACUGAAACAAGAUCCUUCCAAACAAUAAUGAGAAAGGAACUGCAUGACAUGUCAUUCAACAACUGCAGAGAAAGCCUGCAGAACAUCUCCAGUUCACACCGAUGGCAAGUAAAAAUUAAAUCAACAAGGCAAAGCACCUGUAAUUGUGUUGCGAUCGAUU